UUAGUGGCGAACGGGUGAGUAACACGUGAGUAACCUGCCCUCCACUUUGGGAUAACUCCGAGAAAUCGGGGCUAAUACUGGAUAUGACCUUGGCCCGCAUGGGUUGUGGUGGAAAGUUUUUUCGGUGCAAGAUGAGCUCGCGGCCUAUCAGUUUGUUGGUGAGGUAGUGGCUCACCAAGGCGAUGACGGGUAGCCGGCCUGAGAGGGCGACCGGCCACACUGGGACUGAGACACGGCCCAG
Molecule: ribosomal RNA, 241 nt
Filed under: uncultured Actinomycetales bacterium
Lineage: Bacteria; Bacillati; Actinomycetota; Actinomycetes; Actinomycetales
Description: partial 16S ribosomal RNA
Rfam family: Bacterial small subunit ribosomal RNA
Source: RNAcentral